CCAACCUGGGAGUUGCUUACGUCCGCAACAAGGUCUGCUGGUCUGCUCCAUGCGAACCUGGCAACCCUAAAUUAAGCAGUGCUUCGCGACCUGUGCGCGGCAACUAUAUAUGGGGAUUUACAUAGCCGAAUGGCCCCCGGCUGGCGCUCCGGCGCUGCCUAAACUAAAAAGGCUACGACGGACGGCUCCUGGGGAGCAAGUGGUUUAUGGUAAACUUCCUGGUGCGGCGCCAGCAGACGAUGGGAUAUGGCAUUUAUCCCGCGUCGUCCUAAUCAUGGCGGGUCCAUGUGCUACGCCCGAAGCCGGAAUUACCGGGCUGGAUGUGCUGCAUUUUA
This 335-nucleotide non-coding RNA is filed under the name Yamagishiella unicocca. Lineage: Eukaryota; Viridiplantae; Chlorophyta; Chlorophyceae; Chlamydomonadales; Volvocaceae. The record is from RNAcentral.